Molecule: long non-coding RNA, 548 nt
Organism: Bactrocera neohumeralis
Lineage: Eukaryota; Metazoa; Arthropoda; Insecta; Diptera; Tephritidae
Exons: 2
Source: RefSeq, a predicted model, not a curated record
UUUCUUCUGUUGAUUUUGCAGCGCUGACGAGCUCUUAUUCUCGUGUGCGCGUGUGUGUUUGAGUGCGCCUGGUCCGUACUGUAUCGGCUUGCUGAGACGGUAGCGCCUCAAUUUCCGAUCAGUUCAAGUUUUUCAUUUGCGCCGAACGCAACGUGAACGCAAGAAAAUUCACCGGCCAGCGAAGCGUGCUGCUGCAACCAGCAAACCGACGAGCGUGCAUUAAUCAGACAAAAAGAAAAAUAAUCAUUUCAUAUGCGAAAAAGUCAAGUAAAUUUGUGUCGAGUUGGAAAAGUGUAAAUGUCAGGCAGCAUUUAAUGAAAAAAGAAGAGGUGAGCAAAUCGUUUGCCAGGGUGCGUUAAAAUACACAUAACAGUACAUGCAAGCAUACAUAUUUACAGCAGCAAUACAAGCAAUAUCUGCUUAAGAAGUGUGUGAAAUAUUGAAACAUAAAAUCGAUUUCGAUUACUAUUACCAUUUUCGAUAAAAAAAAAUUAAAAAAAUACCACGAAAAAAAGUUAGUCAAAAAUACUAAAAAUAUAAAAUUAAAA